CCUACGCGAGGCAGCAGUGGGGAAUAUUGCACAAUGGGGGGAACCCUGAUGCAGCAACGCCGCGUGGGUGAAGAAGUACUCCGGUAUGUAAAGCCCUGUCGGCAGGGAAGAAAAUGACGGUACCUGACCAAGAAGCCCCGGCUAACUACGUGCCAGCAGCCGCGGUAAUACGUAGGGGGCAAGCGUUAUCCGGAUUUACUGGGUGUAAAGGGAGCGUAGACGGCAGUGCAAGUCUGGAGUGAAAGGCGGGGGUUCAACCCCCGGACUGCCCUGGAAACUGUACGGCUGGAGUGCAGGAGAGGUAAGUGGAAUUCCUAGUGUAGCGGUGAAAUGCGUAGAUAUUAGGAGGAACACCAGUGGCGAAGGCGGCUUACUGGACUGUAACUGACGUUGAGGCUCGAAAGCGUGGGGAGCAAACAGGAUUAGAUACCCUUGUAGUC
RNAcentral lists this ribosomal RNA (440 nucleotides) under uncultured bacterium. RNAcentral's name for it is "partial 16S ribosomal RNA". It matches the Rfam family "Bacterial small subunit ribosomal RNA", at positions 338 to 795 of the family's 1533-position model. The record is from RNAcentral.